Pelobates cultripes (western spadefoot toad) is the source of this 224-nucleotide non-coding RNA. The record is from the annotation of a GenBank genome assembly. Lineage: Eukaryota; Metazoa; Chordata; Amphibia; Anura; Pelobatidae.
CUUGGGAUCUGACAAGCUUUAAAAAAACAAAAAACGUUUACUAUUUGGAACUUGAACCUAAUACAUAUUAUUAACCCGUUCAGGACGGAGCCAAAUGUACACGUUGUGAACGAAACAAAAUGUAAACAAAACCUGGCAUUUGCGCUACAUGUCUGUCCAACCGUCCAAAUUCACCUCUUUCAUAUUAAAUGCACCCACCCUUAUCAUAUAUCAUUUUAUUCAGG